GGAAAUCCACAAAGUGGUAUGAACCAGCAUAUACUGUCUCAGUCGGCGAGCAGCCUAUGCCAAAGUACAGCAAGUUUUCUCGAACAGUGAAUGUAUUGUUUCACAGUCGGUAAACUUUUUGCUAAGGUAAAUUGCAUGCUCUUUUCGACAAGACUUGUCAUGCUGACCCAAUACACCUUGUGGAUCCCUCGAAGGCCGUCAAGUACAGAACUGACAAUUGCUCCUCCCACAGGAGAUAUCAGAAUCAGAGGUUCCUGCAACUUAUUCCUUUAUUUCUUUCAAUGCCCCUUGGCAAUCAUUAUUUCGCCUGACCGUUCGAUUUUUUUUUCAACAGUCUUGAAUAUGGGUUCAUACGUGGCUAUUAGAUGAGAUGUGAACCAUGACAGGUAGUUCAAUCUUUCUAAGAAACCACGAACCUCUCUUUUCUUUUUCUCGGUUCAGGCAUUUUGUUGUCGUUUUUUUAUUUUUUUUUAGCAGGAUCAACCUCGAUUCCUCUCUUAUAACGAACCCCAACGAUUUACCGGAUUGCACUCUGAUAGUGCACUGACUUGAAUUCAA
RNAcentral lists this long non-coding RNA (558 nucleotides) under Lathyrus oleraceus (garden pea). RNAcentral describes it as "Pisum sativum (pea) long non-coding RNA (PSAT_LNC041187)". The record is from RNAcentral. Lineage: Eukaryota; Viridiplantae; Streptophyta; Magnoliopsida; Fabales; Fabaceae.